AAGCCCUGGAAACGGGGUCUAAUACCGGAUAACACUCUGUCCCGCAUGGGACGGGGUUGAAAGCUCCGGCGGUGAAGGAUGAGCCCGCGGCCUAUCAGCUUGUUGGUGGGGUGAUGGCCUACCAAGGCGACGACGGGUAGCCGGCCUGAGAGGGCGACCGGCCACACUGGGACUGAGACACGGCCCAGACUCCUACGGGAGGCAGCAGUGGGGAAUAUUGCACAAUGGGCGAAAGCCUGAUGCAGCGACGCCGCGUGAGGGAUGACGGCCUUCGGGUUGUAAACCUCUUUCAGCAGGGAAGAAGCGAGAGUGACGGUACCUGCAGAAGAAGCGCCGGCUAACUACGUGCCAGCAGCCGCGGUAAUACGUAGGGCGCAAGCGUUGUCCGGAAUUAUUGGGCGUAAAGAGCUCGUAGGCGGCUUGUUGCGUCGGUUGUGAAAGCCCGGGGCUUAACCCCGGGUCUGCAGUCGAUACGGGCAGGCUAGAGUGUGGUAGGGGAGAUCGGAAUUCCUGGUGUAGCGGUGAAAUGCGCAGAUAUCAGGAGGAACACCGGUGGCGAAGGCGGAUCUCUGGGCCAUUACUGACGCUGAGGAGCGAAAGCGUGGGGAGCGAACAGGAUUAGAUACCCUGGUAGUCCACGCCGUAAACGUUGGGAACUAGGUGUUGGCGACAUUCCACGUCGUCGGUGCCGCAGCUAACGCAUUAAGUUCCCCGCCUGGGGAG
RNAcentral lists this ribosomal RNA (723 nucleotides) under Actinomycetes bacterium. Its description in RNAcentral is "bacterial SSU rRNA". It matches the Rfam family "Bacterial small subunit ribosomal RNA", at positions 145 to 880 of the family's 1533-position model. The record is from RNAcentral. Lineage: Bacteria; Bacillati; Actinomycetota; Actinomycetes.